This 350-nucleotide ribosomal RNA is filed under the name Enterobacter sp. HN503E2II. Its description in RNAcentral is "bacterial LSU rRNA". It matches the Rfam family "Bacterial large subunit ribosomal RNA", at positions 1 to 378 of the family's 2925-position model. Lineage: Bacteria; Pseudomonadati; Pseudomonadota; Gammaproteobacteria; Enterobacterales; Enterobacteriaceae. The record is from RNAcentral.
GGGUUGUGAGGUUAAGCGACUAAGCGUACACGGUGGAUGCCCUGGCAGUCAGAGGCGAUGAAGGACGUGCUAAUCUGCGAUAAGCGUCGGUAAGGUGAUAUGAACCGUUAUAACCGGCGAUUUCCGAAUGGGGAAACCCAGUGUGAUUCGUCACACUAUCAUUAACUGAAUUCAUAGGUUAAUGAGGCGAACCGGGGGAACUGAAACAUCUAAGUACCCCGAGGAAAAGAAAUCAACCGAGAUUCCCCCAGUAGCGGCGAGCGAACGGGGAGCAGCCCAGAGCCUGAAUCAGUGUAUGUGUUAGUGGAAGCGUCUGGAAAGGCGCGCGAUACAGGGUGACAGCCCCGUAC